CCUACGGGAGGCAGCAGUGAGGAAUAUUGGUCAAUGGUCGGGAGACUGAACCAGCCAAGCCGCGUGAGGGAUGAAGGUACAGAGUAUCGUAAACCUCUUUUGUCAGGGAACAAAGGCGGGGACGCGUCCCCGGAUGAGUGUACCUGAAGAAAAAGCAUCGGCUAACUCCGUGCCAGCAGCUGCGGUAAUACGGAGGAUGUGAGCGUUAUCCGGAUUUAUUGGGUUAAAAGGGUGCGCAGGCGGUCUUUUAAGUCAGCGGUCAAAGCCCGGGGCUCAACCCCGGCCCGCCGUUGAAACUGGCAGUCGCGAGUUGGAGAGAAGUAUGCGGAAUGCGCGGUGUAGCGGUGAAAUGCAUAGAUAUCGCGCAGAACUCCGAUUGCGAAGGCAGCAUGCCGGCUCCACACUGACGCUGAGGCACGAAAGCGUGGGUAUCGAACAGGAUUAGAGACCCUAGUAGUC
RNAcentral lists this ribosomal RNA (459 nucleotides) under uncultured bacterium. RNAcentral describes it as "partial 16S ribosomal RNA". It matches the Rfam family "Bacterial small subunit ribosomal RNA", at positions 338 to 795 of the family's 1533-position model. The record is from RNAcentral.